This is a non-coding RNA of Drosophila melanogaster (fruit fly), 123 nucleotides long. The record is from Ensembl. NCBI's taxonomy places the organism in Eukaryota, Metazoa, Arthropoda, Insecta, Diptera, Drosophilidae.
CUUCGCUCGAGGUGUGAAAACCUUUUGGCCAGCGAAUACGCCUCGGAUCCAAUCACGUUUCAAGAUCGAGGUGAAUUCUUUGACGUAUUCGCUGGCCAAAUGACACGUUCGCCAUGUUUUGCG